CAAGUGUGCGGAAUCAAUGACCGCGACUCUCAUUUGGUCACUUUAGGGUCGCGCGAGAUAGAGUGAAACCGGCUGCACACGGG
Molecule: non-coding RNA, 83 nt
Filed under: Dethiobacter alkaliphilus
Lineage: Bacteria; Bacillati; Bacillota; Dethiobacteria; Dethiobacterales; Dethiobacteraceae
Also listed under: 1 other name
Description: c-di-GMP-II sequence
Rfam family: Cyclic di-GMP-II riboswitch aptamer
Source: RNAcentral